This 293-nucleotide ribosomal RNA is filed under the name uncultured bacterium. RNAcentral describes it as "partial 16S ribosomal RNA". It matches the Rfam family "Bacterial small subunit ribosomal RNA", at positions 28 to 317 of the family's 1533-position model. The record is from RNAcentral.
GAUGAACGCUAGCGGCAGGCUUAAUACAUGCAAGUCGAGGGGCAGCAGGGGUAGCAAUACUCGCUGGCGACCGGCAAACGGGUGCGGAACACGUACGCAACCUUCCUUUAACUGGAGAAUAGCCCCGAGAAAUCGGGAUUAAUACUCCGUAACAAUAUGGUGUGGCAUCACACUGUAUUUAUAGCUCCGGCGGUUAAAGAUGGGCGUGCGCCUGAUUAGAUAGUUGGCGGGGUAACGGGCCCACCAAGUCUGCGAUCAGUAACUGGUGUGAGAGCACGACCAGUCACACGGGC